Molecule: long non-coding RNA, 841 nt
Organism: Brienomyrus brachyistius
Lineage: Eukaryota; Metazoa; Chordata; Actinopteri; Osteoglossiformes; Mormyridae
Exons: 4
Source: RefSeq, a predicted model, not a curated record
UAGCCGGCUGUCGCAGCCAUAGUCUGCAGGCUAAUGUAGGUCACGCUAAACUUGCGCUAUCACGGUCGGGUGGCCGGGUUUUAAAAGUGCAGGAGGCGAGUAAACAAAACCAAAGCGCAGCCGGGUUCAUAAGGGGGCCGGGUCAGGAGGGGAGGGGGGAAACCAAGCCGUGACUCAGCCGCCUCGUCUGCAGGGACACUGCGUCGGCACGUCGCCCGACCUCCGCACCCUCGGCAAGGCGCGGUAGAGAAGUGGCCUAAACCAGCUCUCCAGCAACCGGUAUCUGGGAGGAAAUAUCAACUCAUCCCUGCUGCUUUCCAAGGCCACUUCAGGACAAAGGGGGGAAAGGACACACUCCGAUAGAAUGGAGGCCGCAGAAGAAGUAAUUUCAAAUGAAAAUUUCGACACAGUUCUAUUUUCGAGUUGCGGCUGAAGAUUGCAGGAGUUGAAGUAUCCUAUGAGGAGAACUCAGGCUGUAGGAAACACCAAGCAAUUUCGGGGCUCAUUGGUGCCCAAACGGCUUCCACUGUAGCACAUGCCAACACCAGUCUGCCACCUGAAGGCACCUGGGUACCAGGACGACUAACGAGCCGGAAAUGCCAAGAAAAAGUGGAAAUUACAGAACGGCAGAGUCAGGAAGACAGAUAUGUGGGAACAGACCCUUAUUUAGAGCUAUAACCAUCUCAUGUUACGGGACGUGAAACAAAACAGCAACAAAAAUCUUAACAUAUAUCAUUAUAUUACAGCUUUAAUAGCUUCUGGGCAUAAACAUUUUUCUGAAUCUGAACAGAGCCUUGAUAAGGCUACAGCAGUCCACUGAGAAGGUUCCACUAUCCAUUUU